CUACGGGUGGCAGCAGUGAGGAAUAUUGCACAAUGGGGGGAACCCUGAUGCAGCAACGCCGCGUGGAGGAUGACGCAUUUCGGUGUGUAAACUCCUUUUAUCAGAGAAGAACAUGACGGUAUCUGAUGAAUAAGCUCCGGCUAACUCCGUGCCAGCAGCCGCGGUAAUACGGAGGGAGCAAGCGUUAUUCGGAAUCACUGGGCGUAAAGGACGCGUAGGCGGGACAGUAAGUCAGGUGUGAAAUCCAAUGGCCCAACCAUUGAACUGCACUUGAAACUGCUGACCUAGAGUACUGAAGGGGCAGAUGGAAUUAGUGGUGUAGGGGUAAAAUCCGUAGAUAUCACUAGGAAUACCGAAAGCGAAGGCGAUCUGCUGGGAAGUUACUGACGCUGAGGCGUGAAAGCGUGGGGAGCAAACAGGAUUAGAUACCCUCGUAGUC
Molecule: ribosomal RNA, 439 nt
Filed under: uncultured bacterium
Lineage: Bacteria
Description: partial 16S ribosomal RNA
Rfam family: Bacterial small subunit ribosomal RNA
Source: RNAcentral